RNAcentral lists this long non-coding RNA (1506 nucleotides) under Homo sapiens (human). Its description in RNAcentral is "non-protein coding lnc-C3orf14-3:1". The record is from RNAcentral. Lineage: Eukaryota; Metazoa; Chordata; Mammalia; Primates; Hominidae.
AGUGAAGCUGACCCUCCAUCCUGAGCUGGUCUGGCCUGAGAGAGGUAGGGGUGAGAUGUGCUGGGAAGCCAGAAAGGGAGGUGCUGGUAAGAGACACCCCAUCCAGGGCCAGAACCGCGGUAAGUAAGAAAGGCCCUGGGCUUCUGUCUGCUCCUGCCUGUUUGGCAAAAUCACAGAGGGAGCAGUGCUCUGGGCACCCGCAGCUCAUUAACAGGCCUUUCGCCAUAUGGAUUCUGGGCGUGCUUCCCACUGGCAAUAUGGUGUCCAUUCGUGACGCAAUAGCCGCAGCUCAUUACCGGCUAUGCCACAAAGACUUUGUCCCCUGUGCAACUGCUUGCUGGGGAGCCCUCUUUUCCAGGGUGGAUGGAGAGAUGAAGUGACCACAGCUCUCUUCUGUCUUUGCCCCCACCCUGCCAUGCCUCUGACAGGCUGAUGACUCAUUUGUAUGUGUCAGCACUGCUGAAUUAUGAGGGUCCUUCUGGGUGCACAUGAAUCCCAAGCAGACCAGACACCUCAUCUGGACAUUCCAGGCUGCUAAUCAAGCACUUUGUCAAUUCAGCCGAGGACCAUGUGUGCUGCACUUUGAUGUGGGGAUGCUGAUGUGGCCGCCACGACCCACCCCCUGAAGUAGCUGCACUCCAGCCAGCCGUGGCUUCUCCUAGUUGCCUGGGCACACAGGCAGGGCCUGCUAGGGGGCUGCUUUACCCUCAGCCUUUACCUGACAGAUCCCCUCCUCGACUUAGCCUAUAUCUCUUCAGUACCUCUUGCAUACCCCAGGAAAGAAUCCCUGUCCCUGAGACUGUAUGACUGGAUUCUGCCUUCUUGCUAGGUGCUUCAUUUCCAGGUCUUUCUUUUUUUUUUUUUUUUCCUAGCAGAACACUUCCCACAUUGCACUAUAAUUUCUGUUUUUAUGUCUGUGUCCCUUAUGCUUUGUGAGGUUAAGGGUUUUUUACCAGUCAUUAUUCCUAUUUGCUCUGUGCACAGGACAAAUGAUUGGACACAGAGGGCCUACAAUCCUAUAAUAUUGCAGGGUUGGGAAGGAUGCAGGAAAACAGGCAUUCUCUUAUGCCUUUUGUGGAAGGAUCAAUUGGUGCAUGCACUUUAGGGGACAAUUUGGCAGUAGCUGUCAAAUUUCAAAUUUCAGUCAGCAAAAUAUUUUUUGAAAAUUUAUUCUAUAGAUACCCACACAUAUACAAAUAAAUAAAUUCAAGGCUAUUCACUGAAGCAUUGUUUAUAUAGCCAAAGAUGAAAUAAUCUAAAAAUUCAUCCAUAGAGGAUUUGUUAAAUAAAAUAUAUCUACAUAAUGGAAUACAAUGUAGCUAUGUAAAAAGGAGACAGGUCAGUCUAGGGUCAUAUGAAAACUAAUCACCAAAUAUAAUGAUUUCAGGCACCAUGUAGAGAAGUGUGUAUAUAGUAGCUUCCAACUGUGCUUUUUUUAAAAGAGGGGGAAUAUAUACAUAUGUGCUUAUAUACGCUAUGUUGGUACAUGCAGAGACUAUCUGGGGA